Molecule: ribosomal RNA, 470 nt
Filed under: uncultured bacterium
Lineage: Bacteria
Description: SSU rRNA
Rfam family: Bacterial small subunit ribosomal RNA
Source: RNAcentral
AGGACUAACGCUGGCGGCGUGCCUAACACAUGCAAGUCGAACGAGGGGUAGCAAUACCCCUAGUGGCAGACGGGUGAGUAACACGUAGUCAACCUACCUCUUAAUGGGGGAUAACUAGCCGAAAGGUUAGCUAAUACCGCAUACGAUCGUCGAGUGGCAUCACACGACGAUGAAAGGAGCAAUCCGUUGAGAGAGGGGACUGCGUCCCAUUAGUUAGUUGGUGGGGUAAUGGCCUACCAAGACUCCGAUGGGUAGCUGGCUUGAGAGAGCGACCAGCCACACUGGAACUGAGACACGGUCCAGACUCCUACGGGAGGCAGCAGUGAGGAAUUUUCCGCAAUGGGGGAAACCCUGACGGAGCGACGCCGCGUGUGGGAAGAAGGCCUUCGGGUCGUAAACCACUGUCGAGGGGGACGAUAUUGGACGGUACCCCUGGAGGAAGCCCCGGCUAACUACGUGCCAGCAGCCGC